This 1381-nucleotide ribosomal RNA is filed under the name uncultured bacterium. RNAcentral describes it as "bacterial SSU rRNA". It matches the Rfam family "Bacterial small subunit ribosomal RNA". The record is from RNAcentral.
GAGUUUGAUCCUGGCUCAGGACGAACGCUGGCGGCGUGCUUAACACAUGCAAGUCGAACGGUAAGGCCCCAGCUUGCUGGGGUACACGAGUGGCGAACGGGUGAGUAACACGUGGGUGACCUGCCCCGCACUUCGGGAUAAGCCUGGGAAACUGGGUCUAAUACCGGAUAGGACCGCACCGUGAGGGUGUGGUGGAAAGUUUUUCGGUGUGGGAUGGGCCCGCGGCCUAUCAGCUUGUUGGUGGGGUAAUGGCCUACCAAGGCGGCGACGGGUAGCCGGCCUGAGAGGGUGGACGGCCACAUUGGGACUGAGACACGGCCCAGACUCCUACGGGAGGCAGCAGUGGGGAAUAUUGCACAAUGGGCGGAAGCCUGAUGCAGCGACGCCGCGUGGGGGAUGACGGCCUUCGGGUUGUAAACUCCUUUCACCAUCGACGAAGGUUUUCUGACGGUAGAUGGAGAAGAAGCACCGGCUAACUACGUGCCUGCAGCCGCGGUAAUACGUAGGGCGCGAGCGUUGUCCGGAAUUACUGGGCGUAAAGAGCUCGUAGGUGGUUUGUCGCGUCGUCUGUGAAAUUCCGGGGCUUAACUCCAGGCGUGCAGGCGAUACGGGCAUAACUUGAGUACUGUAGGGGAGACUGGAAUUCCUGGUGUAGCGGUGAAAUGCGCAGAUAUCAGGAGGAACACCGGUGGCGAAGGCGGGUCUCUGGGCAGUAACUGACCCUGAGGAGCGAAAGCAUGGGUAGCGAACAGGAUUAGAUACCCUGGUAGUCCAUGCCGUAAACGGUGAGCGCUAGGUGUAGGGGUCUUCCACGACUUCUGUGCCGUAGCUAACGCAUUAAGCGCCCCGCCUGGGGAGUACGGCCGCAAGGCUAAAACUCAAAGGAAUUGACGGGGGCCCGCACAAGCGGCGGAGCAUGUGGAUUAAUUCGAUGCAACGCGAAGAACCUUACCUGGGCUUGACAUAUACGGGACCGGGCCAGAGAUGGUCCUUCCCUUGUGGCUCGUAUACAGGUGGUGCAUGGUUGUCGUCAGAAUCGUGUCGUGAGAUGUUGGGUUAAGUCCCGCAACGAGCGCAACCCUUGUCUUAUGUUGCCAGCACGUAAUGGUGGGGACUCGUGAGAAACUGCCGGGGUCAACUCGGAGGAAGGUGGGGAUGACGUCAAAUCAUCAUGCCCCUUAUGUCCAGGGCUUCACACAUGCUACAAUGGUCGGUACAGUGGGUUGCGAUGCCGUGAGGUGGAGCUAAUCCCUGAAAGCCGGUCUCAGUUCGGAUCGGGGUCUGCAACUCGACCCCGUGAAGUCGGAGUCGCUAGUAAUCGCAGAUCAGCAACGCUGCGGAGAAUACGUUGCCGGGCCUUGACACACCGCCCGUCAAGGUA